RNAcentral lists this long non-coding RNA (401 nucleotides) under Lathyrus oleraceus (garden pea). RNAcentral describes it as "Pisum sativum (pea) long non-coding RNA (PSAT_LNC027925)". The record is from RNAcentral. Lineage: Eukaryota; Viridiplantae; Streptophyta; Magnoliopsida; Fabales; Fabaceae.
CUGCGUAGAGUGUGUGUGAGAUGGUGCUGAUUGCUGAAAUAAACUACUCAAAAGUUAUCAGAGGAUGAGAAUGUAAGGCUAAAACAUAAUCAAAAUUCAACUCAAUUUCCAUAUGCAGGAGACUUACGGUGUUAAAACAAUACCGAUCUUGUGAAUUUUUCUCAAGUCUCCGCAAACUCGACUCAAAGUAAUCUAUAGCCUAAAACUUUCAAGAAGAUGCAAUUUUUUUUAGAAAGAAAACAAAAACAAAACAAAACAAAGAACAAAAACAAAGAAAAUAAAGUAUUCCCUCCCCCACACUUAAAAUAUGCAUUGUCCUCAAUGAAAGAAACAAACAUAAAAUAAGAGAGAGAAGAGAGAGGAAAGAACACACCCGAGUAGUCAAGGAGGAUAGGUGANNN